CCUACGGGGGGCAGCAGUGGGGAAUAUUGCACAAUGGGGGAAACCCUGAUGCAGCGACGCCGCGUGAGUGAAGAAGUAUUUCGGUACGUAAAGCUCUAUCAGCAGGGAAGAAAAUGACGGUACCUGACUAAGAAGCCCCGGCUAACUACGUGCCAGCAGCCGCGGUAAUAGGUAGGGGGCAAGCGUUAUCCGGAUUUACUGGGUGUAAAGGGAGCGUAGACGGCAGCGCAAGUCUGGAGUGAAAUCCCAUGGCUUAACCAUAGAACUGCUUUGGAAACUGUGCAGCUAGAGUGCAGGAGAGGUAAGCGGAAUUCCUAGUGUAGCGGUGAAAUGCGUAGAUAUUAGGAGGAACACCAGUGGCGAAGGCGGCUUACUGGACUGUAACUGACGUUGAGGCUCGAAAGCGUGGGGAGCAAACAGGAUUAGAUACCCGAGUAGUC
Molecule: ribosomal RNA, 440 nt
Filed under: uncultured bacterium
Lineage: Bacteria
Description: partial 16S ribosomal RNA
Rfam family: Bacterial small subunit ribosomal RNA
Source: RNAcentral